CUGAAACCGUGUACGUACAAGCAGUGGGAGCACGCUUAGGCGUGUGACUGCGUACCUUUUGUAUAAUGGGUCAGCGACUUAUAUUCUGUAGCAAGGUUAACCGAAUAGGGGAGCCGAAGGGAAACCGAGUCUUAACUGGGCGUUAAGUUGCAGGGUAUAGACCCGAAACCCGGUGAUCUAGCCAUGGGCAGGUUGAAGGUUGGGUAACACUAACUGGAGGACCGAACCGACUAAUGUUGAAAAAUUAGCGGAUGACUUGUGGCUGGGGGUGAAAGGCCAAUCAAACCGGGAGAUAGCUGGUUCUCCCCGAAAGCUAUUUAGGUAGCGCCUCGUGAAUUCAUCUCCGGGGGUAGAGCACUGUUUCGGCAAGGGGGUCAUCCCGACUUACCAACCCGAUGCAAACUG
RNAcentral lists this ribosomal RNA (405 nucleotides) under Escherichia coli. RNAcentral describes it as "partial 23S ribosomal RNA". It matches the Rfam family "Bacterial large subunit ribosomal RNA", at positions 550 to 956 of the family's 2925-position model. Lineage: Bacteria; Pseudomonadati; Pseudomonadota; Gammaproteobacteria; Enterobacterales; Enterobacteriaceae. The record is from RNAcentral.